UACGGAGGGGGCAAGCGUUAUUCGGAAUUAUUGGGCGUAAAGGGCGCGUAGGCGGCUAGAUGUGUCAAAGGUGAAAUCCCUCGGCUCAACUGAGGAACUGCCUUUGAAACUGUCUGGCUUGAGGCCGGGAGAGGGUAGCGGAAUUCCCAGUGUAGCGGUGAAAUGCGUAGAUAUUGGGAGGAACACCAGUGGCGAAGGCGGCUACCUGGACCGGUUCUGACGCUGAGGCGCGAAAGCGUUGGUAGCAAACAGG
Molecule: ribosomal RNA, 253 nt
Filed under: uncultured bacterium
Lineage: Bacteria
Description: partial 16S ribosomal RNA
Rfam family: Bacterial small subunit ribosomal RNA
Source: RNAcentral